UGGGGUGUCGUCAAGUGGUAAGACACAGCUCUUUGGAAGCUGCAUUCGUAGGUUCGAAUCCUACCACCCCAACCA
This 75-nucleotide transfer RNA is filed under the name Nitrospinota bacterium. RNAcentral describes it as "tRNA-Gln". It matches the Rfam family "tRNA". Rfam says of the family: Transfer RNA (tRNA) molecules are approximately 80 nucleotides in length. Their secondary structure includes four short double-helical elements and three loops (D, anti-codon, and T loops). Further hydrogen bonds mediate the characteristic L-shaped molecular structure. tRNAs have two regions of fundamental functional importance: the anti-codon, which is responsible for specific mRNA codon recognition, and the 3' end, to which the tRNAs corresponding amino acid is attached (by aminoacyl-tRNA synthetases). tRNAs cope with the degeneracy of the genetic code in two manners: having more than one tRNA (with a specific anti-codon) for a particular amino acid; and 'wobble' base-pairing, i.e. permitting non-standard base-pairing at the 3rd anti-codon position. Lineage: Bacteria; Pseudomonadati; Nitrospinota. The record is from RNAcentral.